AGGUUGGGAUUUAUUGCAAUGCUGACAAAUGCACUUGGUAUUGCACUUGUCCCGGCCUGU
Molecule: microRNA precursor, 60 nt
Filed under: Scyliorhinus torazame (cloudy catshark)
Lineage: Eukaryota; Metazoa; Chordata; Chondrichthyes; Carcharhiniformes; Scyliorhinidae
Description: Sto-Mir-92-P1a_pre stem-loop
Source: RNAcentral